UGGUCUUUCUAGAUCUUGCACAAGGUCUU
RNAcentral lists this non-coding RNA (29 nucleotides) under Rattus norvegicus (Norway rat). Lineage: Eukaryota; Metazoa; Chordata; Mammalia; Rodentia; Muridae. The record is from RNAcentral.